Long non-coding RNA from Octodon degus (degu), 518 nucleotides. RefSeq lists it as uncharacterized. The record is from RefSeq and is a predicted model, not a curated record. NCBI's taxonomy places the organism in Eukaryota, Metazoa, Chordata, Mammalia, Rodentia, Octodontidae. The transcript is spliced from 3 exons.
CGGGGUUCGCCGGACUCGAGCGUGCGCACGCGCGCUGUCCCCCGGAGGCGUCUGGGUGUGCAGAGCGCGCGCGCGCGCGACUCGGAGGCGCACCUGUGAGGUGUCCCCGGAGGAGGGGGUGGGUGGGCGCUCGGAGACCGCGGCCUGGGGCGCUCGCACCCCGCACUUGGACGCCUUCCUCAGGGCGGAAGCCGCUGAGCGUUCUGCCCAGGUGAUGAGGAACGAUCCGCGCGCCCCACGCACCGGGCUGCUGCCGCUGGACGCCUCCAUUGUUUGACCACAACAAGGGCCGAGCGCUCCCAGAUUAGCGGCCCGUAUCUUUGCCAGAUCACCUCUCCUUUCCUCAGAACUCGGCUCCUUUGUGAGACCUUUCUUGUCCAACUCCAACAACUCGCUCGCUCUCUCUCUCUCUUGAGGAGCCUGCUCUGCACUGUUCGAGUUGAUAGGUUCGCUUAUUAGUUGUCUUGUUGCAACAAAGGGGGCCUGCUAUUGCAAAAAAUAAAAAUAAAAAAAUUCAA